RNAcentral lists this ribosomal RNA (425 nucleotides) under uncultured bacterium. RNAcentral describes it as "partial 16S ribosomal RNA". It matches the Rfam family "Bacterial small subunit ribosomal RNA", at positions 354 to 796 of the family's 1533-position model. The record is from RNAcentral.
GUGGGGAAUCUUGCGCAAUGGGCGAAAGCCUGACGCAGCCAUGCCGCGUGGAUGAUGAAGGUCUUAGGAUUGUAAAAUCCUUUCACCGGUGAAGAUAAUGACUGUAGCCGGAGAAGAAGCCCCGGCUAACUUCGUGCCAGCAGCCGCGGUAAUACGAAGGGGGCUAGCGUUGCUCGGAUUUACUGGGCGUAAAGGGCGCGUAGGCGGACAUUUAAGUCAGGGGUGAAAUCCCGGGGCUCAACCUCGGAACUGCCUUUGAUACUGGGUGUCUUGAGUAUGAGAGAGGUGUGUGGAACUCCUAGUGUAGAGGUGGAAUUCGUAGAUAUUAGGAAGAACACCAGUGGCGAAGGCGGCUCACUGGUCCGGUACUGACGCUGAGGUGCGAAAGCGUGGGGAGCAAACAGGAUUAGAUACCCCGGUAGUCC